This 1407-nucleotide ribosomal RNA is filed under the name Triticum aestivum (bread wheat). Its description in RNAcentral is "partial small subunit ribosomal RNA". The record is from RNAcentral. Lineage: Eukaryota; Viridiplantae; Streptophyta; Magnoliopsida; Poales; Poaceae.
AUGUUUCUAUACACAGAUUUAUCAGGCAACAAGCUCAAUGGAUCAAUCCCCUCUGGACUUCUCAGAAGAAUUCAAGAUGGCUCCCUGAGUCUGAGAUACGGAAACAAUCCCAACCUUUGCUCCAAUGGUGAUUCAUGCCAGCCCAGCAAGCUGGCCAUUUACAUUGUUGUCCCUGUAGUUGUGAUUCUAGUGAUAGUAUUGGUGGUACUAGUACUACUCCUUUGCUUUCUAGGACGAAAAAAAACAGGAUCAAUGGGCAACUCUGUGAAGCCGCAAAACGAGAUGAGGACGAGCUACCAACUGUCAAAUGGUAUUUGUGAGGAUGGUUCACUGAAACUUGAGAGCCGUCGUUUCACUUACAAGGAGCUAGAGAUGAUAACAAACAACUUCCAGCGAGUGCUUGGACGGGGAGGGUUCGGGUACGUCUACGACGGCUUCUUGGAGGACGGAGCCCAGGUUGCAGUGAAGUUGAGGUCUCAUUCUUCUAGUCAAGGUGUUAAGGAGUUCCUCGCAGAGGCUCAGAUUUUGAGCCGAAUUCAUCACAAGAAUCUUGUCUCCAUGAUUGGUUACUGCAAGGAUGGAGAGUACAUGGCACUCGUCUAUGAGUACAUGUCGGAAGGAACCUUGCAAGAGCACAUUAAUGGAAGCAACCGCAACGAAGCAUGUCUGCCAUGGAUACAGAGACUCCGGAUCGCGCUUGAAUCUGCUCAAGGGCUAGAGUACCUGCACAAGGGGUGCAGUCCUCCCCUCAUCCACAGGGACGUGAAGACUACCAACAUUCUGUUAAACACAAGGCUAGAGGCUAGAAUUGUUGACUUUGGCUUGUCCAAGGCCUUCAACGGCGAUAAUGACACCCAUGUGUCCACUAACACACUCGUUGGCACACCCGGAUAUGUUGAUCCAGAGUACCAUGCGACAAUGCAGCCGACAACUAAGAGCGAUGUUUACAGUUUUGGAAUCGUGCUGCUGGAACUAGUCACGGGAAAGCCGGCCAUCUUGCGGGAGCUGGUUCCCAUUAGCAUCAUCCAGCGGACGCGACAACAGCUAGCACGAGGCAACAUCGAGGGUGUGGUCGACACACGCAUGCACGAUAGUUAUAAUGUUAACGUGGUGUGGAAGGUUGCGGACAUCGCGCUCAAGUGCACUGCACAAGCCUCAGUGCAGCGGCCCACCAUGACUGACAUAGUGGCGCAACUGCAGGAAUGUGUUGAGCUGAAGAAUGGACACGUCGAAGGCAACACAAACAAGGGUUUCUACACGGGCAGCAGUGGCAAUGACCCAAACUUGAGUUAUGAUUCUUACACAACUGAUCAGUCCACUAGUGUGAACCAUAACAGCACAACAAUUGAGAUGGAGCAUAAUUGUAUGAGGGUGCCUACAAUGUGCACAUGUCCUGCUUUACGUUGA